This 539-nucleotide ribosomal RNA is filed under the name uncultured bacterium. RNAcentral's name for it is "bacterial SSU rRNA". It matches the Rfam family "Bacterial small subunit ribosomal RNA", at positions 776 to 1319 of the family's 1533-position model. The record is from RNAcentral.
AAAUAGAUACCCGGUAGUCCACACCGUAAACGUUGGGCGCUAGGUGUGGGCCUAUUCCAUGGGUUCCGUGCCGCAGCUAACGCAUUAAGCGCCCCGCCUGGGGAGUACGGCCGCAAGGCUAAAACCCAAAGGAAUUGACGGGGGCCCGCACAAGCGACGGAGCAUGCGGAUUAAUUCGGUGCAACGCGAAGAACCUUACCUGGGUUUGACAUACACCGGAAAGCGCCAGAGAUGGUGCCCCUUUUGUCGGUGUACAGGUGGUGCAUGGCUGUCGUCAGCUCGUGUCGUGAGAUGUUGGGUUAAGUCCCGCAACGAGCGCAACCCUCGUCCUAUGUUGCCAGCACGUUAUGGUGGGGACUCAUAGGAGACUGCCGGGGUCAACUCGGAGGAAGGUGGGGAUGACGUCAAGUCAUCAUGCCCCUUAUGUCCAGGGCUUCACGCAUGCUACAAUGGCCGGUACAAAAGGCUGCGAUGCUGUAAGGCGGAGCGAAUCCCAAAAAGCCGGUCUCAGUUCGGAUUGGGGUCUGCAACUCGACCCC